GACGAACGCUGGCGGCGUGCUUAACACAUGCAAGUCGAACGGAAAGGCCCUGCUUUUGUGGGGUGCUCGAGUGGCGAACGGGUGAGUAACACGUGAGUAACCUGCCCUUGACUUUGGGAUAACUUCAGGAAACUGGGGCUAAUACCGGAUAGGAGCUCCUGCUGCAUGGUGGGGGUUGGAAAGUCGCGGCGGGUGGGGAUGGACUCGCGGCUGAUCAGCUUGUUAGUGGGGUAGUGGCUUACCAAGGCUUUGACGGGUAGCCGGCAUGAGAGCGUGACCGGCGACAAGGGGCCUGCGAUACGGCGCAGACUCCUACGGGGGGCAGCAGUGGGGAAUAUUGCACAAUGGGCGGAAGCCUGAUGCAGAGACGCCGCGUGCGGGAUGACGGCCUUCGGGUUGUAAACCGCUUUAGCCUGUGACGAAGCGUGAGUGACGGUAAUGGGUAAAGAAGCACCGGCUAACUACGUG
RNAcentral lists this ribosomal RNA (468 nucleotides) under uncultured bacterium. Its description in RNAcentral is "partial 16S ribosomal RNA". It matches the Rfam family "Bacterial small subunit ribosomal RNA", at positions 28 to 507 of the family's 1533-position model. The record is from RNAcentral.